UCGUCCCCUCAUCUACUAUCGUUGAGCUGUGCGAGCCGAGAGAGAGUGGACAAGAAAGGAAGAAAGUUGUCCCCGCAGCCUAUUUCACCAUUGCCGCCGGAAGCUCGGACCAAAGCCGAGCCUGGCUGUUCGUCCUCUGAGCGAUUGGGGAGAGGACUGCGUCUAACAAAGACUUUAGCGCGGGAUCGACCAUCCGAUGUGAGAUCUCCCUCUCCACUGGUGAAUAUCAUGGACGCCGGUAUUCGCCGUGACCCAAGGCCAGUACCUCGGCGGGACCCGCGCGCUAUCGUCGUCCGGUCGCCUCCACGGCCUUGUCGCUGGAGUCCCGUUGAGAGCCUCUGCUUCACCACUGUAAGUAAAUCUGGUUUCUUUACCAUGGUUGUAGCGCCCGACUCCCGCAGAAUCGUCCAUAGCAUCGGCCGGGGUUGCUUCAACCAUGGCGCCAUCUCCCUGGGCGUUUGCGCCGCUGGCAUCACUAUCGGGUGUGGGAAGAAGAAUGGUGGUGCGUUGGACGGGAUUUGUGCGGCUAGGAUUAGACUGGGGUACCGGUUAGUUCCAGUGGUUGUAUGGCAUCGAGAUCGGAUUCAACGGACGUGAUGUGACCGUGCUUCAUUAAACGUUGACCGUAGAUCGUGCGGGGAAUGGCCUGGAUCGAAUCUGGCGUAUCCCUUCAAAUCGUUAGAUCGGAGCCGUAGAUUUCGGAUCUAACGACCAUAGUCACGUAUUGAUUCAUUAAUGCCAAGAUCUAAUCUGGGUCGUCCGUUUUUGAUCAGGUGGCUUGGUGUGAAGGAUACCCCUUCGCGGCUGCAGCUUUUCUAAAGAGCCCCUGCCCUUUUGUCAUAUCAACCUGCAGUCCAUAGGAUAUGUAAUAUAAUUACAGACAAGUCCUGUAAACUUAUAAAUAGAACCCUGAACUCUCUGGUUAUUGUGCGCGCAGUUCUGAAGUCUGAUAAAAUAGGAAAAAUGAUUUAGGAAAUUGAUUUCUAGUGCCAAAAUAAUUCCAGAACUUGUAUAAUUCGUAGAAAAUUCAUAUUAGCUCCUUUUUAACCCAUUCUAGUUGCAAUAACUUUGUAUUAGUAUUGUCUCUCAACUAGUAACACUGUUUAACCAUGAAACUUGAAUCAAAAUUGUUCAUUUAAAUUAAUCUAUUCUAGGUGCUUAAUAACUUCAGAAAUUCAUAAUUUCUUAACCGUAACUCCGAAUUUAGCGAUUCUUGUUCCUACGAUCUCGUUACGAUACAUAGAUUAUUAUUAUACAUUUUAUUCUUAUGUUUGAUGUGAUGUUAAUUUUGCCUAUACCAUGUUUGAUUGUAUUGCUACGUUUAGCAGUGAGGCCACGAGAAUCUGAAGAGCAAGUUGGUACCUGGAAUCUCAAGUGCCAGACAAGUUGUGUCCUUGAUCACUUCCUUUUUACCCAGUAAUGUUCUUAUUAAUCAUAAUGAUCUUCAUAGGUUAAUUUUGAUAGGACCCAAUAGGUUACCCUAGAUUUUGACUAUCUUUAUACGUUGUUUCACCACUGGUUUUACUACUAAAUUUUUGGGUAGUACAUGAUAUUGCUUUAUGUGGCUUUGGGUAUAGAGAUAUCCAUCACUCAUUGUUAAACUUUUUUAUUAUCUGUUUAUUAUUUACUAUUCAUGAUAAGAUCAUUAUGUUAAUGGGAACAUGGAGAACCACCCGGGAAAACAGUGCUACCACAAGCGUUUAAUGGGACGCCCUUGGCUGAUUAACUAGGAAAGCUAGUGGAUGACUACCUUACCCAAAAGGGGCAAGGGAAGUAGGGGAGUGGUCAGUGUAGGGAGGUCCUUGGGUUGAUUUUGCUGCGACGGCGGUCAGACGAGGGAUUCCUGCACUGGAGCUUCCUAUAAACUGUAGCGGGUUUUCUGAAGCUAGUGGAACUUUGUAAAGGCCUCGUAGUGGUACCUUACCUCGCUUCCUUGGUAGAGGUGUAUGGGGUCUGAUCAACUCUGUGGCAAAUGGGUAACACGAUUUGUGGGUAAAGAUGUCCUCUGCAGAGUGUAAAACUGGUAUACUAGUCGUGCUCACGGUCAUGAGCGGCUCGGAUACUCACAUGAUUAAUUUAUGGAACUUAAACUUAAUUUGUCAUUUGCAUCGCAUUGGGAUUAUUUUUAUUAUUACUUUUACUUAUUAUUACUAUGGUUUGGUAUCUACUUACACUUAGUAACUGCUAAUAAAAUUGUGACCAACUUAUAAAAGCAAUGCUCAGCUUCAGCCUUUAUUACAUUGAUUUGCCUUACACUCCACAUGAACUCCCACCUUUGGUGAGUUCAUGCACAUUAUUCCCCACAACUUGUUGAGCGAUGAACAUGUGUGAGCUCACCCUUACUGUCUCACACCCCCACAGGAGAACAGGUGGUCGAAGAGGAGCCGCCUAACUCUGAGGCUUUCGACUUGAUCUAGGUGUCAUAUCCCAGUCAGCUUUGUGGCGCCAGGGAAUAAUAUAUAGUUCGCUUUAUUUUAUCAUUUAUUUCUGUAAGACUUCCGCUAUGUAAUAAGUACAUUUAUGAUAUUUAUGACAUUUAUCUCUAUGCACUCUGUUAUUAUAUGUGUUGUCUUCUCUGGCGCAUAUAUGAGAUGCACCCGACUUUGUCCCUUAAAGUCCGGGUGUGACAGUUAGUGUAUUUCAACUUUUAUAAUUGGACCAAGCCAUGAUUCCAUGUUUUUCAUGAUCUUUUUACCAAUUUCUUCCUCUCUACUUAAAUGACCUAAUUAGGGUUGUUCUAGGGUUUUAACAUUUUUCCCCUUUUGAAUGCAUGAUAUGAUUUAGGCAUGAUCCUUAAGAUAAAAAGACUUAGGGUUUUCGAACCCAUGUUGUUGUAGGUGAGGAAACAACAGACUUUUGCUAUUUUUGUUCGAAGGUGAUUCCCAAGGAUGAGCCCCAGUAGUGAAGUAAGUCACAGGAGGAUGUUGACCUCCCACUUUGAAAACAAUAAACUUUUGUGCGGGAGGGUGCUUUGCCUCCUAGGUCUGUAAUAAUAAUACUACUUAUGCACUCUUAGUACCUGGUAUUGUAUUAAUAACACUACUCUCUGUCUAUAUAUUGAAUGAAUGUAAAUUAAGUUAUGGUAAUUUGCUUUCGCUUAUUCUUUCCUCUGAUGUGAUGUAAUAUCUGUGUGACGGGUGAAGCGCUCUUGGGCGAAAUGAUGAAGAUACAAUACCAAACUUGUUGAGUG
Molecule: long non-coding RNA, 3190 nt
Filed under: Zea mays
Lineage: Eukaryota; Viridiplantae; Streptophyta; Magnoliopsida; Poales; Poaceae
Description: long non-coding RNA (ZMAY_LNC000353)
Source: RNAcentral